ACUAAUUUUUUCCAAAUGUAAGGUCUCCGACAUCUCCAUAAUCCACAUCUUGAUUGUGGGGGUUGUUGGGUUUUUCCAAAAUUUUAAUAUCAGUUUUUUCCCAGUUAUACUGUAAUCAAGGACAUUUAUUUGGUUUAUUGUGAAAGAAGAAACUGCAGAUGCUGG
This is a long non-coding RNA of Amblyraja radiata (thorny skate), 165 nucleotides long. RefSeq lists it as uncharacterized. The record is from RefSeq and is a predicted model, not a curated record. Lineage: Eukaryota; Metazoa; Chordata; Chondrichthyes; Rajiformes; Rajidae. The transcript is spliced from 3 exons.